GCCCGCGUAGUGUAGUGGUUAGCACUCAUCCCUGUCACGGAUGCAACCCGAGUUCGAGUCUCGGCGCGGGCG
Molecule: transfer RNA, 72 nt
Filed under: Candidatus Pacearchaeota archaeon
Lineage: Archaea; Nanobdellati
Description: tRNA-Asp
Rfam family: tRNA
About the family: Transfer RNA (tRNA) molecules are approximately 80 nucleotides in length. Their secondary structure includes four short double-helical elements and three loops (D, anti-codon, and T loops). Further hydrogen bonds mediate the characteristic L-shaped molecular structure. tRNAs have two regions of fundamental functional importance: the anti-codon, which is responsible for specific mRNA codon recognition, and the 3' end, to which the tRNAs corresponding amino acid is attached (by aminoacyl-tRNA synthetases). tRNAs cope with the degeneracy of the genetic code in two manners: having more than one tRNA (with a specific anti-codon) for a particular amino acid; and 'wobble' base-pairing, i.e. permitting non-standard base-pairing at the 3rd anti-codon position.
Source: RNAcentral